AUUGAACGCUGGCGGCAGGCCUAACACAUGCAAGUCGAGCGGAUGAAGGGAGCUUGUUCCUGGAUUCAGCGGCGGACGGGUGAGUAAUGCCUAGGAAUCUGCCCGGUAGUGGGGGAUAACGUCCGGAAACGGGCGCUAAUACCGCAUACGUCCUGAGGGAGAAAGUGGGGGAUCUUCGGACCUCACGCUAUCAGAUGAGCCUAGGUCGGAUUAGCUAGUUGGUGGGGUAAAGGCCUACCAAGGCGACGAUCCGUAACUGGUCUGAGAGGAUGAUCAGUCACACUGGAACUGAGACACGGUCCAGACUCCUACGGGAGACAGCAGUAGGGAAUAUUGGGCAAUGGGCGAAAGCCUGAUCCAGCCAUGCCGCGUGUGUGAAGAAGGUCUUCGGAUUGUAAAGCACUUUAAGUUGGGAGGAAGGGAAGUAAGUUAAUACCUUGCUGUUUUGACGUUACCAACAGAAUAAGCACCGGCUAACUUCGUG
This 484-nucleotide ribosomal RNA is filed under the name uncultured bacterium. RNAcentral describes it as "partial 16S ribosomal RNA". It matches the Rfam family "Bacterial small subunit ribosomal RNA", at positions 30 to 507 of the family's 1533-position model. The record is from RNAcentral.